RNAcentral lists this ribosomal RNA (388 nucleotides) under uncultured eukaryote. RNAcentral describes it as "SSU rRNA". It matches the Rfam family "Eukaryotic small subunit ribosomal RNA", at positions 587 to 972 of the family's 1831-position model. The record is from RNAcentral.
AGCUCCAAUAGCGUAUAUUAAAGUUGCUGCAGUUAAAAAGCUCGUAGUUGGAUUUGUGGAGCGGCCAUCCGGCGCGGCGCCAGCUCUUCGUAGCGGGUGUUCGCUAGUCCCGGCUUCGCGGCCGCUCCUUUCUCGGGAAGCGAGUGGCUGGCAUUAGGUUGUCGGCCGCUUCGCGCCCGUCUUUUACUGUGAAAAAAUUAGAGUGUUCAAAGCAGGCUUAGGCUGGAAUAAUGAGAUAAGGCCGCGGUGGUCUUUUCUGUUGGUUUGCCCACACGCCGCAAUGAUUAAAAGGAACGGUUGGGGGUAUUCGUAUUCAACUGUCAGAGGUGAAAUUCUUGGAUUUGUGGAAGACGAACUACUGCGAAAGCAUUUACCAAGGAUGUUUUCA